CGCGGCGCGGCGGGCCCGGCCCCGGCCCCGGCCCGCGUCCUCGCGCGCCUGUCGCGACUUGCUCGCGAUAUCGGUCCCCCUUGCCCCGUGUGAGGGGUCUGCCCUUCCCCGUGGCAGCUCCCCACAGGAGCCGCAGCUGGGACAAAUGCCGUGAUGGUUCCCGCAGGGAGAGCCCCGGCGUUAGCCCCCAGCCGGGGCUGGCUGCUGGUGUUGGUCUGAAACUGCCCUCGGCCAGGCUCAGAAGCACCACAAAAGGCCGGAGUCAGAAAGACAAACCCGGUCAGACUCCUAACUCACAACACUGACUGCCUCUCCGUGCAGCAACUGAUACUCGUGAUGUUAAGACAACUCCACAGGAGGCUGCUGAGCUGGUCGUCCACAGAGAUUCAAGCAGUACGAGCUACAGUCUGUAAUGGACAGCAAAUUACAGUAAUUAAAAUAACCUAAGCUGAUGAGUCCAGCACUGGAAGCAACAGGAUAGCACUAGAAACUACGUUUUUUAGUCAAUGACUUAGGAAGCAGCAAGAGCAAAGCUUCACAUCAUGGUGGGCAUGAAAAUGUCAGCAAUUUCAACAAGCUGCAGACCAACAUAAUUGGAAGAUAUCCUCUGAAAGCCUGAAAGCCUCCUGUGACCUUAAAGCCCACUUCAUAGUGAACACAGGCAACAGUCUUAAAUAAGAGGGGGGAAAAAAUAACGGGUCCUCACUGAAUUGAUUGUUUCAGGAGCUCACUGCACCAGCAAUCUCACUCUGCCAGUGAAGCCCCGCACUGUUCGUCCAGGACAGCCAGAGUUAGCAUGGACCCUGCUGCUGCUCCCGAGCACCGACUAUGAAACAGGACGCCUCAAGGAAAGGCAGCAGCCAGAUAACACAACACAUUUGAGUCGUUCUCUUCUUCCCUAAGAAAGCAGCAUAGUAUUGUACAGAAUAAUUCCUUGAGGAUUCCAGAACAGAAAUAUCAUUUAUCCUUACAAACGAUUGCUUAUAUCCCACUCCUCACUUCAGCCUCACUUCCUGAAGACCGUGUUGGGCCAGCAGCUGGUAUUAACAAGCAGUGCAAACCCUACUGCUGUGACAAGGCACCAGAGUUCAUGCCUCCAGAUUACUUACGCAGAGGGCAGCAAAAGCCUGCUCACCUUCUGAGGAAUUAAAGCAUCGUUACUGGAAUGGCAGAAACAUCCAGCUUUGAAGAUGUAAAGGAAAGACUGCCUCCGAAAAGCAUCUGCUAUGGCAGGAAUCAAGCACUGAUACUACUGAAGCCCAAAGCUGCUUCCUCACAACAGCAGAAAUCCCCGUCUUGCUCAAAAGAUUUCAUUUGUUUAAAGUGAACAGCAAAUUCCUUGUGUCUGCUGAAAUUGGUACCGAAGCUCAGUACAACAGUUGCUCGGCAGGGUUUAGAGAUAAGGUAAGUGACAUUGUCACUGUAAAAAUAGUUUCAGAUAACUCUAGACUGUAGGAAAUCAGAGGAUUUUUUUUCCUGUGGACACCCAAGAAGGAUGUAACUUAUGAGGUUUCACUUGCCUGGAUAUCAAAAUGGAGAUUAGGAAGCUUUGCCUAGCAAGGGAGGAGAGUACUCUGGACAUCACUCAUACAGAGCUAAGCAAUCCCCCCCAUGUGUUACCAACACGGCGCAGCUUCGAGGCAAGCUGUCCCCACAUACCUGAUACCACUUUUGGAGCCGGGAAGAGAGGGAGUGAAUUCUCAGCAGAUCUUUUCUGUUGCAGCUGUGAACAUUUAAACAUUAGGCACAGCUACAGAGAUCAGCUUGCCCAGCGAAGAUGUGACAAGGGAUUUAUUUGGUACCUGGUGGCUGCGCUUCUCUGCGUUCUUACGUGGUCGUGUUGGGCAUGCGGUGAUGCUGAGCCAGGCGAGUUUCACAGCACUACUUCUCAACGGGUUGAUUUUACUAGCUACUGCCAGUGUUCCUUCACCUCUAUCAGUAAAACCUGCACAUGUUGGAAGACACUGGACUGACUGAAUUAGAAGUUAACUGCAAAAAAAAACAACAUAUCGCAGUGUAAUGAAAUACUAGAGUUCUAAAUGAACUACAUUUGGCCACUUUCAUAGCAUUUCAGUGAGGACUCAUUUGUAAACAACAAGCGACAUAUAUCCAUGCUCAAGAAUAUUGUUGGAAAAUGCAGUUGGAAGCUUGAUAGUUGGAUUUCCUUCCUGCUGAUUAUAAAAUUCCAUCUGAAAUUUGUUUUCCUUUUUGUGGAGUAUUCUUGUUAGAAGUAUUCUUGUUACCUGUGACUAGUUGGCCAACAGAGGGAGCAUGGAACAAACUGUGACUCUUACAAAACUAUGGCUUAAAAAAAAAGUAACACCUAGCAGGGAAAUGAUACCGAAAACAUAAAAUCAUCCUCUGUAUGACUUUCCAAGAUGUAUCACACAUUUGAGGUUAAAUACAGUACAUAAUGUCUUUUUUCAAAGCGAUUGCUUUGAAAGAGGGCAAGCACUCCCCUGAAUGUUUUAAUCAUUUGCACGCCCUGAGACAGCAUUAGUCAGAGAUCACAGAUCCACAUGUAAACUGGCAACUUGCCUAUUUUGCUGGCUAUUCCUUCCCAACACUCUAACCACAUUAACACUCUAACCACCAUUUUUACCCUAAACUUCUGAAAAACAGAGAUAAAUAACAAUCAAUAU
Long non-coding RNA from Cygnus olor (mute swan), 2642 nucleotides. RefSeq lists it as uncharacterized. The record is from RefSeq and is a predicted model, not a curated record. Lineage: Eukaryota; Metazoa; Chordata; Aves; Anseriformes; Anatidae. The transcript is spliced from 3 exons.